ACAAGGCAAAGAGACCAACAGGUUCCAGUCUGACAACAUUCCAGAGUCUGAUCGGACAACUUUCCUAACUAGAGCCCUCCCCCAAUCUAGAAGAGUGGUGGUAACUUUCCAGUACCUGACUAAAGGCCAAUGAGAGACCCCCCACGUACCCUAGGUAAGCCAAUCCCCGUGCCACUGUAUUCCUUUGCUAUCCCUCCCCCUGCCUUCUUUAAAAAUUAGCUGCCUGCCCUGCUGAAUGUGACUUCCCCGGCCUGUGAAAGCCAGACCUGGGAACAUCACCCGAAAAUUGCACUCAAGUAAACUGCCUGGCCCUUCGUUGCCUCUCGUCACCUGCUUAUUUUGGCUAAAAUUUAUCUUAUACCAGCAACCUCGGAGAAAGCACCCCAAAAGGCUGGGGUUCCCCCUUUUAAGGAUUCGUCAGAAAUAUGACUAAGGCCUGGGGGUGCAGACCUGUUAAGUGGUGUUUGAAUACUUAAAAUUAACAACACAAGGAACUUCCUGCUCUGAUUUCUCCCUGGGACGCCCAUCAUUCUUGGCCUGGGAGCCUAUCAAACAAGGUUGCCUGCCCAACCCCCAAGGUGGGCCGAGUUAUUGUCUGUUUGCUAAACAGUAAGUUAAGAAUGUUACUUCUUAACUUCCUGCCUUUUACUAUAUUUAUGGCUUGGCCUGCACGCUAGAUUAGUUACCUAGGUUGCAAACUACUUGAGGAGGGCCCAAGGAGGAAAAAACAGCAUAUAGGUAAAGUGAAAAAAUAAGCUGGGCUUGUAUGAUUAACAUAAUAAAGACAUGGGCUAUGCUGAAGUACCCUCCUUUAUCUGGGGAAUAUUCAAACAUUCCAGGCCAAGUUGCUCCUGGCUUUUUGAGCUUUAACUGAUUAAUUCUGGGUCUUUCUAGUGGACUUUCCUGGCCUUUUUCCCUUUCCACCUCGCUCAUAUCUAUUUUCUUCCCAGACAGGAAGGACUAUAACAAAAUGUGUUAAAAUCUUAAAAUUUCUCACGGUGCCCCACUGUUUCUGUAUGGCCCCCCAACUAUUUUGUUUAAAAUAUUUACUCUUUUUAUAUACCUGUGAACUGUUUCCAUUUUCCUUAAAGUCUCAGGCCCCCACACCCUUCUCUUUGGUUCAGGAUGACAUCUAUAUCUCAUUCUCCCUGACCAUCUUUGGAAGCCACAUCUAUGGCUUCCCCGUAUGUAUGUAAUUAAACUUGUUUUUUCCUGUUGGUCUAUCUCAUGUCAAUAUGACAUAAACCAGCUAGAAGAACUUCCAGGGGUAGAGGAAAUGUCUUCCUAAUGUUAGGCAGGAAAAUAGACAUGAGCAGGGUGGAAAGAAAACAAGGUCAGUAAAGCCCCCUAGAAAGGACUUGGUUAACCAGUUAAAACUAGAAAUCCAGAAAAGACUCAGAGUUAAUGAGUUAAUCAGUUAAAGCCUAAAAGGUCAAGAGCAACCCAUAUAAAAGUAUCUGAGCACAGCCCAUGUCUUCAUUGUGUUAAUUAGAUCAUUAAGAUUUACUCUAGCCUGCUAAAAGGCCCACCUAUAAACAGCAUAAUAAAGACAGGGAGAUCCCACCUUAAAGCCAAAAUUGCAUUUUGAAAAAAAACACCCCAAGUAGUUAAGAAGAAAGAUUCUUAACAUACUCUUUAGCACCCCAAAUAACUCUGCCCACCUUGGAGGAAGGACUGUCUUGACUGAUAAGCUAAUUUUGCAGAAUUACCUAGAGGGCUGAUAAGAAACUUAACAUCUUAUCAAAGAUACUUUAGACCACUUAAGUCCACACCCCUAGCCCUUUGUCACUGUAAGGCUGGAGGCCCCGGAGGGAGGGGUGAGCAUGUCAGACGAGCUCACCCUCACCAAAUAAGGAAAGGGGGCGGCAAAGCCCCCAACUCUGGCCUAGUAAGGGAAAGAGACCAUCAGAUUCUGGCCUGAUGACGUGCCAAAAUCUCUGGCUGCUGCCUCCUCCCAACCUGUAAAAUGAGGAGUAACUUUCUAGCUAUUUGUCUACUGUAAAGGCCAAUGACAUGUGCCUUAGGGUAGCCAAUCCUCGCACCACUGUAGACCUAUGCUCUCCCUCCCCCUAACUUCUUUAUAAACUCACUGCCUGGCCUGCUGGGCACAACUUCUCCAGCCUGUGACUAACUAGACUGGCAAACAUCGCCCAGGAUUGUGCCCUAUUAAAUUUUUGGCUCCUCUGUUGCCUCCUUGCCUGAUCAUUUUGGUUUGAUUUAACCUUACAUCUGGUGCCAAAACCUGGGAAGGAGAUAAGGUGUGGGGCUCCAGCCAGCCACCGGUAGCUCCCACCCCUCCUUACCCAAUCCAGUACCUCCACCUACUCUCAGCACUUUGAACAGUGAUUUGGUGAGUCCCUCCUUUCCCUGGUCUGUUUUCCCAGUCCUGUCUCCACCUGGUUCAGUUAACUUCAAAAUCAUAGCUACGUCCAGGUUCUCCAGGCAUUAAGCCUGUCCUGGUCCCGAGAUAGAGGAGACGUCCUCAUCCAGGCUCCCAGAUCUCCGGGGAAGAGUACGAUACUUCCCUGUCUCCUCCUAACCUGAGCGAGUUUGGGACGCUGGGCUCACCAGUUUAGGGGCUCUGGGAAAUGGGUAACAGACAUGGGGAACCAGUCCUCUAAAUUGAAGGCUCAGACCCCUCUGCAGUGUCUCAUAUCCAAUCUGGCAACCCUAGAUAUAGUGGAGGAGAUCUGUAAACGGAAACUGGUCCGACUCUGUUCUCAGACUUGGCCCUAGUAUCCUCUGGCCCCCAGAGCGAACUUUUGAUUUUAGCCUUCUCACCAACCUAACUUCUGUCACCGAACUGGGAAGUGGUCUGAAGUCCCGUAUGUCCAGACCUUUUGGACAUAGCGCUCCCGCCCUGACCUUUAUGUUAAGUGUUCAAUGACCCAGGUUCUCCUGGCCCGGUCUCCAGUUAAGGAGUGUCAGCCUCUUACUCUGCCCAGUCCUUCCUCCUUUUCAGAUCCGCCGGAGGACCUUGGUUGCCCACCUCCCUCAGCCCAUGAUCCCCUCCCCUUGCAUCGCCACCAUCUUUAGGUCCCUUGUCCUCACCCACAUCAUCGCCAUCUUUAGGUCCUUUGUCCUCACUUCGCUGCCAUCUUUAGGUCCUUCAUUCUCAGCCAUGCCAUCUUCCUGCUCCUCUUCCUGUGUCUGCACCACCCUCUGCCCCUCUCCUUCCAUCUUCACUGCCCUCUUUCCCCACUGGAACAGGCUCCUCCUACCCUCUGGUUCCGGAAGCCAUGGACAAGACUACCCCCAGCACAGACCCACCUCCUUUCUCUCCCGACCCUACAACCCUCCCCACACCCACUGUUCCAUAUUUGUAUCCUUUCCUGGCAUUGCCGCUGUCUUCUCCUUCACUUCCUGUUCCCACCCUGCCACCAACUUAUGUACCCAUGCCACCCUUAGCUCCCAGUUGGUCUAGCCCUCUGGUCCAAGGCCCAGUGGCCACCCCAAAGGUCCAACUAGCAGCCUCUUGCCGAGAGGUUACAGGGGCAGAAGAGGUUGUCCAGAUUCAUGCCCCUUUUUCCCUAGGAAACAUCCCAAAUUGAGAGACUCCUGGGCUCUUAUUCCUCUAACCCCACAGUUAAUACCAAAGAGUUUGACUACCUAACUCAAGCCCAUGAACUUACCUGGCAUGAUAUACAUGUUAUCCUAACCUCCACUCUUACCUCAUAUGACUGUGUUACCUCUGUCUCCCGACAUUGUGCAAACAAGGCACAUAACACGGAUCAGGCCAAGCCAAUUGGGACAGAGGCAGUUCCUCUCACAAACCCCCAAUGGGACUAUAAUACCCAAGAUGGGGGAACACAGACGGACCGAAUGCUCUAGUAUUUACUGGCAGGUAUGAAUAAGAUGGCUCAAAAGGCCAUUAAUUAUGAUAAGCUGAAAGAUUACUCAGAGACCUGAUGAGAACCCAGCCUGUUUUCUUGACUGGCUCACCGAGGCUUUCUCUAUACAUACCUGCCUCAACCCCAACUCAUCACUGGGGUCCACGGUGUUGGCUACUCAUUUUAUUACCCAGUCAGCACAGACAUAAGAUGUAAGUUAAAAAUGGGCAGAGGAGGAGCCCCAGUCUCCACUCCAUGACCUGGUAACCAUGGCCUUUAAAGUCUUUAAUACCUGUGAUGAAGAACAUGAGAGGAGGAUAGCAUCCCAGACCCGAGCCUUCGCAGUGACCCCACUGACCAGUAGAACAGGGGUCUCACCACACCAAAGACUGGUCCGAAGCUCAUGAGCCUCCAGGAUCUUCCUUCUGGCGUGGCCAGGAAGGCCACUGGGCAAUGAGAUGCCCCAACCCGACCAAAAUAGGCUGACCAAACCCUGCCCGGUUUGCAGUAAAAGAAGUCAUUGGAAGGUAGAGUGCCUGGCUGGGGAAGGUUGUCCUCCCGUGACAGAGUCUUGUGGGAGGCAGGCCCCCCUAAGGAACUCUCCUCCAGACCUUCUUGGCCUACUUGAAGACUGGACUUGAACACCCCUAUCACCCUUGCUGAGCCCAGGACCAUGCUGUGGGAAACAGAAAAGUUGGGAAUAGCAACUGGAGUGCUGGUCCCAGCCAGUAGGACCCAGACACCAACUGGUCACUUUCCUGUCAAAACAACUGGAUCCCACCACUAAGGGGUGGCAACCCUGCCUUAGAGCCCUGGCAGUGGCAGCGUGCCUUGCCAAAGAAGCUCUGAAACUAACCCUCCUACAGGUGAUAACCGUAUACUCUUAUCAUUUACAGGACCUUCUGGGCCACAAAUCCUUGGCCUCUCUCAGCCCAUCACGAGUGCAGGAAUUUCACCUCCUAUUUAUUGAGCACCCCCAGUUAACUUUACAGGUGUCACCAUCAUUACACCCAACCAGCCUCCUUCCUCCCUCCAGUUCAUCUGCCACACCCAGCCACUCCUCCACAGAGCUGGUAGAAACUCUUUGACUCCUACAAGAGGGUCUCCAGGACACACCUCUCACUGACCCAGACUUAAUUGUCCAUGAAUGGAAGCUCAAUCAGGGAUUCAAAUGGGUGUAGGGGAGCGGCCUACACGGUAGUUUCCUCCUCCUCAGAAAUAGUGGAGGCAGCUCCCCUGCCGAUGGGAACCACCUCCCAAAAGGCAGAACUAGUAGCCCUCACCCAAGCCUUACAGUUGGCAGCAGGACUUAGGGUAACCAUUUACACCAACUCAAAGUAUGCUUUCCUAAUCGCACACAGCCAUGCAGCAAUCUGGAAGGAAAGGGGAUUCCUCACUACCCAAGGGACCCUGAUUGUAAAUGAUAAAACAAUUCAUCACCUACUCCAGGCCUUACAGGAAACCAAGGAGGUGGCUAUUGUUCAUUGCUGGGGACACCAGACAGGUACUGACCUGGUCACUAAAGGGAAUUCUCUAGCCGAUGCUACUGCCCAACAACUAACCUCGGGUCCUGAUUAUUCCCCAGUAUUGUUUCUCUCCCCCUCUAUAACUCCUAAUUAUUCCAAAGAGGAAAAACAACAACGUUUAGACCAGGGUGGAAUGGCUGGACAACAGGGAUGGAUACAUCUUAAGGACAGGAUAACUCUUCCCCAGGCCCAUGCCAGGGAAAUCAUAUUUACAGUUCACCAAUUCCUCCAUAUUGGUCCAGAGGCUAUGUACAGGUUUCUCUCCCCUAUCUUUGCCCCACCUGGGCUCCAAAAGACCAUUAACCAGGUACAUAUGGCUUGCACCACCUGUCAUCAUGUUUCUUCUCAAGGCACCCUCAAAUGCUGUGCAGCCCUCCACCAGCUGCAGGGGAGCGCUACCUGGACAGGAUUGGCAGAUUGAUUUUACCCACAUGCCUAGACACAAGAAGCUCAGAUAUUUACUGGUUAUGGUUGAUACACUUUCAUGUUGGAUCAAGGCCUUUCCUACCUGCCAAGAGACUAUGCCAGUAGUGGCAAAGACGUUAGUGGAACCCAUCAUCCCUUGUUUUGGCCUCCUGAUGUCGCUGCAGACAAUGGACCAGCUUUCAUCUCAAAGGUCACACAACUGGUGGCUGGCUCUCUAAAUAUCUCCUAUUAACUACACAUACCCUAUCACCCUCAAUCCUCAGGUAAGGUGGAAAGGGCCAAUGGCCUUCUCAAGGAUCAACUUUCCAGACUCUCUUUAGAGGUAAAGACCUCCUGGUCAGACCUACUCCCAAUUGCUCUCACCUGAUUGCGAGAAGUCCCCAGGGGACCCACUGGACUAAGUGCCUUUGAGUUAAUGUAUGGUAGACCCUUCUUUCUAAACACAGGCCUGCCUACAACUCCACCCCCUCUAGCCUCCUACCUACCUUACUUCUCACUCCUAAGACAUCUCCUCAGGGAACAUGCAGACCAAUUCCUGCCUCAACCCACCUCCCCCUCGAAUCCAAGAAUCACGGAGGUUCUACAGCCGGGAGAUGAAGUCCUUCUUAAAGAACUCCUACCUCGGUCCCUCCAACCAUGGUGGAUGGGACCAUACAUGGUGGUCCUUACCACUCCCACAGCUGCCAAGCUAUUGGGACACUCCCUGUGGUACCACAUCUCCAGGCUCAAACAAGCACCCAGUCAUGAUAGGUGGGGGUCCAGAGAGACAGGGCACCUCCGUUUGUGCCUUACUCACACUAGUGCUGGCCACAAUGACCCAUCUGGCUCUGGCAAACUGGGUCUGUAACCAGUGCAUCAUAUAAGGCAUGCUCCAACCCCACCAAUUGGUCCCCUGGACAUGCUACUUUCAAAAAGUACCUUGUUGCAGGGAUAUCAAUUGUACUGGGCCGCUAUAAUGUUAAGAGAUUUCCAAACUAGCUGCCCAGGAGGAGUCGGCAAGACCAUUUGCUAGGUACGAGACCCUCCACCAAAUCCCCAAGGAAAGAUAACCCCUUGUUCUACCCAAUGCUCAUCUUUGUAUUCCUUCAUCCAGGCUACCUGCUAUGAACGAGCCUGGGUCUGUCUCUCAUCUUCCAGACAACACUACUGGAUGGGGCAAAGCCUGGAUAAUCGUGCAGAUAUGUCUGUCCUGAGAGACAAGGACAACAUAUCUGCUGGAACCUCCAGACACCGAUAGGUCAAUGGUAGAAGUGCACAAGACUAUGCUGGUACAUCAGUACUCGCCCCUUCCCUCCAAGCCUCCUCCAGCCUCCCACCAGCCUUAACCCUGCCCACACCACCCCUCCUCAGCUGGAAGUAGCCAGUUCGAGUCAGCACCCAUUAUAACCAAAAAGCUGGAAUGUAAGGCUGGAGGCAUCAGAGGGAGGGGUGAGCACGUCAGACAAGCUCACCCUCACCAAAUAAGGAAAGGGGGCAGCAAAGCCCCCAACUCUGGCCUAGUAAGGGAAAGAGACCAACAGAUUCCAGCCUGAUGACAUGCCAAACUCCCCGGCUGCUGCCCCCUCCCAACCUGGAAAAGGAGUAGUAGCUUUCUAGCCAUUUGUCUACUGUAAAGGCCAAUGAUGUGUGCCUUAGGCUAGCCAAUCCUUGUGCCACUGUAGACCUAUGCUCUCCCUCCCCCUAACUUCUUUAUAAACUCACUGCCUGCCCUGCUGGGCACUUCUCUGGCCUGUGACUAACCAGACUGGCAAACAUUGCCCAGGAUUGCACCCUAUUAAACUUUUGGCUCCUUUUUUGCUUCCUCACCUGGUCAUUUUGGCUCGAUUUUACCUUACAGUCACAUUCCUGAAAAAUCCUUAAAAGGGGGAACACCCAACCUUUCAGGGCACACCUCUCUCUGAGGACUCCUGCACUUCUUUCUAAGUAAUUUUAAAUAAAACUUUUACUCUGCUUCAUGA
Non-coding RNA from Manis javanica (Malayan pangolin), 7740 nucleotides. The record is from RefSeq and is a predicted model, not a curated record. Lineage: Eukaryota; Metazoa; Chordata; Mammalia; Pholidota; Manidae.